UACGUAGGGGGCGAGCGUUGUCCGGAAUCAUUGGGCGUAAAGCGCGCGUAGGCGGCCCGGUAAGUCCGUUGUAAAAGUCAAAGGCUCAACCUUUGAAAGCCGAUGGAUACUGCCGGGCUAGAAUCCGGAAGAGGCGAGUGGAAUUCCUGGUGUAGCGGUGGAAUGCGCAGAUAUCAGGAGGAACACCAAUAGCGAAGGCAGCUCGCUGGGACGGUACUGACGCUGAGACGCGAAAGCGUGGGGAGCGAACAGG
This 253-nucleotide ribosomal RNA is filed under the name uncultured bacterium. Its description in RNAcentral is "partial 16S ribosomal RNA". It matches the Rfam family "Bacterial small subunit ribosomal RNA", at positions 524 to 776 of the family's 1533-position model. The record is from RNAcentral.